UAAUGAGACUACCAAUCAACUCAAUCCAAAGGGUAAAUACAUAGAGAUCACCUGACCACAAAAUUUCGCCGUUCACAAUCUAAGAACAUAUUCAAAGUCCAAUUUGUCUUUUCCCUGAUUUUGUCUCUCACAAUAGCAAAGCUAAUUUGGUCUCUUGGAGUAAAGCGGUCCACUUCAUUGAACCAAAGACAGGUAAAGAGGUUGGAGAUUGGAAUAUGCUCUUUUACAAUCACACACCCCUCUGUAACAUCUGCAAACAUAAUAGUAUGCUCAAUUGGUUUAUCAAACAAAAAAUGGCGGGGAUCAAUAGAGAGGAAUUAUUAAUUAGACGUAAAGAAAGAUGAGAUACAUGAGUAUCACACCCUAACCCCUCGUGAUAGGAAGUUUAGCUCUGGUAUAUGGAGUUAGACCUUCCUUAUAGAAGUCAACCUGGAAAUCAUGGAAGCAUUGUCAAACUUAAAAGCAGCCUUAUUAGCCUCUACUUCUACAAACACAUCAAAGCGCCUGUAGUGUCUUGAUAUUGCAAAGCUUUCAUUUUUUCUCCACAAGAAUCUGACAUAGAAAUGAGAAAAUUCAACUAGCUAGUUAUGCAUAACACAAAAGGAUAUCAGAAUCAGAAAGUUGGGAUUCAAUAAACGCAGCAUUUAUCAGAAGCACAUUGACCUUCAAAGAAAGAUAACUCCCUUCGAUAACUAAGCCCAAUCAGCCCUUUCGUUCACAUGCAUAGUUUUACACUUAGUCAUGCACCAGUGAGCAGUAUGACUUCUUUAUCUCUGUAACGUAUCAACCAUUUUAAAAGCCUUGUUCUAUCCUAGCAAAAUAGUGAGCAUGUCUCAUACUAGGUAUAAGCGCCACAUCACACUGAGGACCAUUUUGACAUGAACAGGCUCAGACUGACGAUUCAAACAGGUGACUGAAUUUAGGGCAACACACAUCUCCCAUGACAGACACUUUGUAACUAUUGCCUUCUAUAUCAACGGGUUGAUUAAGGAUGUGCAAGAUGCUAUGAAUGAGAGCCUCCCAGAACCACAAUGUCUGUAAACUAUAGUUCAACUUAAGUUGGGAAACAUUAACCAAAUCCCUGUCCAGUAACAAAUUUGCUUGAAGCAUAACUUAUACCUCUUAGAAACCCACCUCGGCGGCCCCAAAUUCUAUAUUAUUAUUUUUUUUAACUUGCACCGGGUGUUCGAGAGUCCGAGACUCUUCGGGUCCCGACUAAUCCUGGGGUGCACAGGCCCUCGGCAAGGAGUUUCCUCAAGUGCACCACGGGUAAUUGUUUGCCCCAAAUUCUAUGAAAUGUUCUCCAGUAGGUUAGACCUUAGUAAUGAUAACUAUAAUUCAAUUGCUUGCUCUUUUCAGAAAAUCAACUGAAUAGAGCUCAAAUUGUGUUAUCAUCUUUCCUCUCUUGAGUAGUCACAAAUCAUUUGUUCAUUUUCAUAAUUGCUUAUAACCUCUUAAAUAUGAACUUUGUGCCCUGUUGCGUCAUUGACUUUUACAGUGCCGAUCCUGUAUUUGACUAUUUUCAACGUUUUGUUUGAAUAACUAUUAUCCACUUAAUGAGUCUCUGUAAUUCAGACACCAUCCAUCUCACACAUCUUUUACGUAAUGCCAUUAAAGUGGCAACGCAUGCCACUUUUUGCCAUUGACUGUGUUCUCCUCUAUAUAAGAUGAUCCUUUGGAUUGCUGGUUUGCAGACGAUAGGAUGUACGAUUGAUGUAAUAAUCUUCAUGACAAAACAGGUAUUGAACUUCAUGUGGCUCAAGUCUUUUCUCCUUUGGCGCUACUUUCGCUUCUGGUCACUGAUCAAUGGUAUUGAGGCCCCUGAGAAUAUACCUAGAUGUAUAAAUAAUUGCUACAACUUGGAAAGUUUUUGGAGAAACUGGCAUGCCUCGUUUACCAAAUGGCUUGUUAGAUAUAUGUAUAUUCCUCUUGGGGGUACUCAGACGAAGCUGCUAAAUGUGUGGGUUAUCUUGACAUUUGUUGCUGUAUGGCAUGAUCUGGAGUGGAAACUUCUUUCUUGGGCAUGGUUGACCUGCAUAGUCUUUAUACCAGAAAUGAUUGUAAAGUCAACAACAAAUACUUUGAAGGUACUUCCAUUUGAAUGUUAAUUCCACUCCUUUUACAAAAUUAACUGAAUAGUUUUCCCAACAAGUAAUUAUAUUUUGUCAUGCCAUGUUACUGAUCUAAUUGUACUCACUAGGUGAAAAGUUCUGUUGGCAAGUUUCUAUACCAUGAACUUCCAUGAACUUAGUGCUGUUGACGGGGCUAUCACCAUCACUUGUCUAAUGGUAACCUGCUGCUGGUGGCAGGUAUCAUGUGGAUUUAGUCGAGGUGCACAGGAGUUGGCUCGGACACCAUGAUUAUCUUAAAAAAAAAAAGUAUAAGGUGGCCAAUCUUGUUGGUUUUGUCAUUGGAUCAUCGGGGAUCAAUUGGUUGCUCUAUAAAUUUCUCCAGAAAGAAGGACUACCUACUCUUGGUGGCAUGUUUAUUACGUUUUACGUUGGAACUAAGCUGAUGUUUCACAUCUCUGAUGCCAAGCAAAAACGCAUCCACAGCUGAUGACAAAGGUUCAUUCCUGGGCAAGCAGAUCACAAACAACAUGAUACAAAACCCAUUAGCAUCUACAGUGUGUUCCCAUGUCGUGAGAGGAUACUAUCUAUAGUUAAUACUUGGGUCAUUUUCAUCUUUGAAUUAAUCCAUCAACCAACUUUAC
Long non-coding RNA from Capsicum annuum, 2713 nucleotides. RefSeq lists it as uncharacterized. The transcript has 7 exons. NCBI's taxonomy places the organism in Eukaryota, Viridiplantae, Streptophyta, Magnoliopsida, Solanales, Solanaceae. The record is from RefSeq and is a predicted model, not a curated record.